RNAcentral lists this ribosomal RNA (253 nucleotides) under uncultured bacterium. RNAcentral describes it as "partial 16S ribosomal RNA". It matches the Rfam family "Bacterial small subunit ribosomal RNA", at positions 524 to 773 of the family's 1533-position model. The record is from RNAcentral.
UACGUAGGUGGCAAGCGUUGUCCGGAUUUACUGGGCGUAAAGAGCGCGCAGGCGGUCAAUUAAGUCGAAUGUGAAAGCCCCCGGCUCAACUGGGGAGGGUCAUUCGAUACUGAUCGACUUGAAGGCAGGAGAGAGAAGUGGAAUUCCCGGUGUAGUGGUGAAAUGCGUAGAUAUCGGGGAGGAACACCAGUGGCGAAGGCGACUUCUUGGCCUGUUCUUGACGCUGAGGCGCGAAAAGCUGGGGGGAGCAAAC